AUUGAACGCUGGCGGCAUGCCUUACACAUGCAAGUCGAACGGCAGCACGGGAGCAAUCCUGGUGGCGAGUGGCGAACGGGUGAGUAAUAUAUCGGAACGUGCCCAGUCGUGGGGGAUAACGUAGCGAAAGCUACGCUAAUACCGCAUACGAUCUAUGGAUGAAAGCGGGGGAUCGCAAGACCUCGCGCGAUUGGAGCGGCCGAUAUCAGAUUAGGUAGUUGGUGAGGUAAAGGCUCACCAAGCCGACGAUCUGUAGCUGGUCUGAGAGGACGACCAGCCACACUGGGACUGAGACACGGCCCAGACUCCUACGGGAGGCAGCAGUGGGGAAUUUUUGGACAAUGGGCGGCAAGCCUGAUCCAGCAAUGCCGCGUGCAGGAUG
This 382-nucleotide ribosomal RNA is filed under the name uncultured bacterium. Its description in RNAcentral is "bacterial SSU rRNA". It matches the Rfam family "Bacterial small subunit ribosomal RNA", at positions 30 to 410 of the family's 1533-position model. The record is from RNAcentral.